Non-coding RNA from Pelobates cultripes (western spadefoot toad), 4291 nucleotides. The record is from the annotation of a GenBank genome assembly. NCBI's taxonomy places the organism in Eukaryota, Metazoa, Chordata, Amphibia, Anura, Pelobatidae.
AUAAAAAAUAAAAUCCAGAAAAAUGCAUGUCAAAUAAGUUAUAAAUUGAUUUGCAUGUCAAUGAGUGAAAUAAGUAUUUGAUGCCCUAUCAAUCAGCAAGAUUUCUGGCUCCCAGGUGUCUUUUAUACAUGUAACAAGAUGAGAUUAGGAGCACUCUCCUAGAGGGAGUGCUCCUAAUCUCAGCUUGUUACCUGUAUAAAAGACAUCUGUCCACAGAAGAAAUCAAUCAAUCAGAUUCCAAACUCUCCACCAUGGCCAAGACCAACGAGCUGUCCAAGGAUGUCAGGGACAGGAUUGUAGACCUAAACAAGGCUGGAAUGGGCUGCAAGACCAUCGCUAAGCAGCUUGGUGAGAAGGUGAAAACAGUUGGUGUGAUUAUUCCCUCGGUCUGGUGCGCCAUGCAAAAUCUCACCUUGUGGAGUUUCAGUGUUCAGGUGAACAGUGAGGAAUCAGCCCAGAACUACACGGGGGGAUCUUGUUAAUGAUCUCAAGGCAGCUGGGACCAUAGUCACCAAGAAAACAAUUGGUAACACUUUACACCGUGAAGGACUGAAAUCCUUCAGUGCCUGCAAGGUCCACCUGCUCAAGAAAGCACAUGUACAGGCCUGUCUGAAGUUUGCCAAUGAACAUCUGAAUGAUUCAAAGGAGAACUGGGUGAAAGUGCUGUGGUCAGAUGAGACCAAACUCGAGCUCUUUGGCAUCAACUCAACUCGCCGUGUUUGGAGGAGGAGGAGGAAUUCUGCCUAUGACCCCAAGUACACCAUCCCCACCGUCAAACAUGGAGGUGGAAACAUUUUGCUUUGGGGGUAUUUUUCUGCUAAGAGAACAGGACAAUUGCACCGUAUCAAAGGGACGAUGGACGGGGCCAUGUACCAUCAAAUCUUGGAUGAGAACCUACUUCCCUCAGCCAGGGAAUUGAAAAUAAGUCGUGGAUGGGUAUUCCAGCAUGACAAAGACCCAAAACACACAGCCAAGGCAACAAUGGAGUGGCUCAAGAAGAAGCACAUUAAGGUCCUGGAGUGGCCUAGCCAGUCUCCAGAUUUUAACCCCAUAGAAAAUCUGUGAAGGGAGCUAAAGGUUCGAGUUGCCCAACGUCAGCCUCGAAACCUUAAUGACUUGGAGAGGAUCUGCAAAGAGGAGUGGGACAAAAUCCCUCCUGAGAUGUGUGCAAACCUGAUGGCCAACUACAAGAAACUUUGACCCCUUCGACUUAGUACUUGAUGGCAAAACCUGUGAUUGCCAACAAAGGUUUUGCCACCAAGUACUAAGUUGAAGGGGUCAAAUACUUAUUUCACUAAUUGACAUGCAAAUCAAUGUAUAACUUUUUUGACAUGCGUUUUUCUGGAUUUUCUUUUUUUCUGUUAUUCCGUCACUCACUGUUAAAAUACACCUACCAUUAAAAUUAUAGACCGAUCAUUUCUUUGUCAGUGGGCAAACGCUCAAAAUCAGUAGAGAUUCAAAUACUUUUAUCACAAACUGUAUCUCACUUUUUGGUUAAUACUUAUUGUAUCAUUCAGAUGUUCAACUAAAGAAGCAGGGUGAUACAUGUCAUGAUAGAGUCAAUUGGAACGUUACAUGAAAUAUUGAUGGCAGUUCAAAACAAUCAGAAUAUGUAUUUAUAAUCUUUAUAGGAUCACCAAAGAUAAGAAUCCUGACAGGUUAAAAAGACUUUGUACUAAUACUCAAAUUAAGCUAUACAUUCAAACUCCUACUACUCCUGGGCGGCAGCAAUAGCUACUAUAUCCAUCAGCCCAAAUGAAUAGAAUAAAAGCAAAAAGAGUUAUUGUUGCUCUAUUCCAAAUCCCUGCGCACAUUUAAAUAACAAGAGAUUUUUAGUAUCACUCCAAUGGCCAUUAAAGUGUAAGCUCACCUCUUGGGUGAGUCCUACAUUAACAAAUUACUUUAAUGCUUUAACCCCAUAAGGACACAUGACAUGUGUGACAUGUCAUGAUUCCCUUUUAUUCCAGAAGUUUGGUCCUUAAGGGGUUAAAGCCAAAAGGUAAAAUCUCUAAUGAGACAGAUAGGGAUAUUUUAUGUAUUUUUACACACUUGUUAACCCUUAAAGGACCACUCUAGGCACCCAGACCACUUCAGCUUAAUGAAGUGGUCUGGGUGCCAGGUCCCUCUAGGAUUAACCCUUUUUUUUUAUAAACAGGUUAAUCCAGCCUCUAAAGCCUCUAGUGGCUGUCUCAUUGACAGCCGCUAGAGGCGUUUGCGUGCUUCUCACUGUGAAAAUCACAGUGAGAAGACGCCAGCGUCCAUAGGAAAGCAUUAUGAAUGCUUUCCUAUGAGACUGGCUGAAUGCGCGCGCUGCUCCUGCCGCGCAUGCGCAUUCAGCCGAAGAGGAGGAUCGGAGGCGGAGAGCUCCCCGCCCGGCGCUGGGAAAAAGGUAAGUUUUAACCCUUUCCUCACCAUCCAGAAUUGCCGGGACUUCAAACUGAAUUUUAAAUGUAAGGUCAAAAUAGCCCUUCCUCUGUCUCUCGAGUAAUGUUUUAUGGCCUCAUUAUGUGCCCAGCAAUCUUGAGCACAGAUACUUUAUAGGGUUUUCCACUAAAGUGAGAAUUGUCAGGAAUCUAAAGAAAAUUCAAAAUUAAUUUUACAUUUUAGGCUAAAAUAUUUGAACGGAAAACAAUGGUGACUUGGUGAAUUUUUCCAGUUUGUGUAUAUAUCCGUAUUAUCCGGAAUCAUGUUUCAGCUCACUCCAUACCAAAAGCCAGUUCUGUCAUUAUCCUGAUUCAUGCCACCAUUUUUCAGCCCAUUGUUAACUUUAAUAUUAACAGGUUACUCCAAGUACCAUAACCACUUCAGUGAUUUGAGGUGGUCAAGGUGCCUGCAGUCUGUAUGUGCAGCAUCAUACAGAGAUGAACUCUUAGCUGUCAGAGGUGUAACCAACUCUGGCAGUGUCAUUACACAGUUCCAGGCUGGUUAAUAUCAAUUCUGUGUAAAAUUGAUUUCUGACGCAAACACACACAGAAUGUUGUCGACAAAGUUCCAGUGGUGGCUGUGCCGCUCCUGUCCUACCCUCGACCAUCCUCUCUGACUUUUCUCCCCCUUCUGUGACAGGGAAUGAUGUCAGCAGACAAAGAUUGUGCUGAGGGAGAACUUGGCCUCAGCAUUAAAAUAAGUUAAAGCAUUUUGUUUUGCCGUUUGGUGGUGGCAGAGGACCACCACAGAAAUAAUUACUACAACUAAAACCAGUGUUUAAUAAAAAAAACAAAAAAAAACAAACAAACACUGGUUUCCAGUUGGAGUAACCCAUUAAAGGGUUUGCAAUAAAACCAAAAAAAAAAAAAGAAAGUUUUUUUACUCACCUGGAAUACAGCUUUGGGCAAAGAGCACGGUCCAAUCACAGACUUCUCAUUGGACCGUUUUGCUGGCUCAUGUGCACAAUCUAAGCUGGCGAGGGGAGGGAGAUUGGAUAGAAAGCGUGGUGGAAAAUGUAAUAAUAAAAAAAAAAUAGAAAAGGAAUUAUGGAGUUUGUUGGGAGGCGGGAGCCCUCAAGAGAAAAGCUUAACAUGUCCAUUGCCAGCAUGCUGUGUGCCCUGACGAUGAAUGUUUUUUUUUUAUGCACAGAACUGACAUUUGGCAGUCCUGGCUGCUGAAGUCACGUGUGCCAAGGGUGUAACUGGCCCGACACAAAAGUGCAGGCUUCCGUGUAUGUGCAAUGUUUCAACCAGAAACGUUGCACAUACAGACUCCCACCAGCAUGACCACUUCAAACUACUGACGUGGUCAUGGUGGUUAAAGUAAUCCUUUAAGUUAUUUUAUUAUUUAAUUAUCUGAUUGGUUAGGGCAUGUCCCUUAUUUCUGACUUUGAAAAAAAAAAUGCAAUAAUAUAUUUACUGCAAUGUAGCACUUAACAGAAUGAUCUGUGACUUAAAUAGUGGUGAAAUAACAGCUGAACAGCAAACUUUAGAACUGUUUGAAAAAUAGCUGAAAUUAGUAAUACUUCCAGUUUAGAUAAUGGGCCUACAUUUUGCAAUCUGCUUAUCAAUGCACUAUUUAAUGAAUAAUCUCUGAAUGUAAGCUAUUUAAAGCUCAGUAAUUUAAUAUGCCUAUUAUAUAUAAAAUGUUUAUGCAUAAGCACUCUAAGCACAUUUUAACAAGUUUUAGCUAAUAUAUAAAGUUGUUGAAACAAUUAGUGCAGGUACUGGUAUGUGCAGGUACUGAGAUUUUUUUUAUUGAUAUUUGUAUUUUACUGGAAUAAAUAUAUUGAAAACACAAUAAAUAAACAAUGAAUUAUAUUUUUUUGUUUCUGGCAAGAUGGAUAUUGUUAGGUGCACUCUAAAAG